AUACGGAGGAUCCGAGCGUUAUCCGGAUUUAUUGGGUUUAAAGGGAGCGUAGGUGGACAGUUAAGUCAGUUGUGAAAGUUUGCGGCUCAACCGUAAAAUUGCAGUUGAUACUGGCUGUCUUGAGUACAGUAGAGGUGGGCGGAAUUAGGGGUGUAGCGGUGAAAUGCUUAGAUAUCACGAAGAACUCCGAUUGCGAAGGCAGCUCACUGGACUGCAACUGACACUGAUGCUCGAAAGUGUGGGUAUCAAACAGGAUUAGAUACCCUGGUAGUCCACACAGUAAACGAUGAAUACUCGCUGUUUGCGAUAUACAGUAAGCGGCCAAGCGAAAGCAUUAAGUAUUCCACCUGGGGAGUACGCCGGCAACGGUGAAACUCAAAUGAAUUGACGGGG
This 393-nucleotide ribosomal RNA is filed under the name uncultured bacterium. Its description in RNAcentral is "partial 16S ribosomal RNA". It matches the Rfam family "Bacterial small subunit ribosomal RNA", at positions 523 to 918 of the family's 1533-position model. The record is from RNAcentral.